RNAcentral lists this transfer RNA (73 nucleotides) under Bos taurus (domestic cattle). It matches the Rfam family "tRNA". From Rfam's summary of the family: Transfer RNA (tRNA) molecules are approximately 80 nucleotides in length. Their secondary structure includes four short double-helical elements and three loops (D, anti-codon, and T loops). The record is from Rfam by way of RNAcentral. Lineage: Eukaryota; Metazoa; Chordata; Mammalia; Artiodactyla; Bovidae. RNAcentral also lists the same sequence under 5 other names.
UCCCUGGUGGUCUAGUGGUUAAGACUCCAUGCUCCCAAUGCAGGGGACAUAGGUUUGAUCCCUGGUCAGGGAA